GCCAGACUCCUACGGGAGGCAGCAGUGGGGGAUAUUGCACAAUGGGGGGAACCCUGAUGCAGCGACGCCGCGUGGGUGAAGGAGCGUUUCGGCGCGUAAAGCCCUAUCGGCAGGGAAGAAGGAGGACGGUACCUGACUAAGAAGCCCCGGCUAACUACGUGCCAGCAGCCGCGGUAAUACGUAGGGGGCAAGCGUUAUCCGGAUUUACUGGGUGUAAAGGGGGCGCAGACGGCAGCGCAAGCCAGGAGUGAAAGCCCGGGGCCCAACCCCGGGACUGCAUUGGAAACUGCGAGGCUGGAGUGUCGGAGAGGCAGGCGGAAUUCCUAGUGUAGCGGUGAAAUGCGUAGAUAUUAGGAGGAACACCAGUGGCGAAGGCGGCCUGCUGGACGAUGACUGACGCUGAGGCUCGAAAGCGUGGGGAGCAAACAGGAUUAGAUACCCCCGUAACA
This 449-nucleotide ribosomal RNA is filed under the name uncultured bacterium. RNAcentral describes it as "partial 16S ribosomal RNA". It matches the Rfam family "Bacterial small subunit ribosomal RNA", at positions 330 to 795 of the family's 1533-position model. The record is from RNAcentral.